This 355-nucleotide ribosomal RNA is filed under the name uncultured eukaryote. RNAcentral's name for it is "SSU rRNA". It matches the Rfam family "Eukaryotic small subunit ribosomal RNA", at positions 1326 to 1698 of the family's 1831-position model. The record is from RNAcentral.
CGAUAACGAACGAGACCUCAACCUGCUAAAUAGGACCCUCUAUUCUUCGGGAUAGGGCGGCGCCUUCUUAGAGGGACUAUCGGUGUGUAACCGAUGGAAGUUUGAGGCAAUAACAGGUCUGUGAUGCCCUUAGAUGUUCUGGGCCGCACGCGCGCUACACUGAUACGUUCACCGAGCUUACAACCUUGACUGAGAGGUCUGGGUAAUCUUUUGAGAUCGUAUCGUGCUGGGGAUAGAUUAUUGUAAUUUUUAAUCUUCAACGAGGAAUUCCUAGUAAACGCGAUUCAUCAGAUCGCAUUGAUUACGUCCCUGCCCUUUGUACACACCGCCCGUCGCUACUACCGAUUGAAUGGCU